Molecule: long non-coding RNA, 2027 nt
Organism: Neofelis nebulosa (Clouded leopard)
Lineage: Eukaryota; Metazoa; Chordata; Mammalia; Carnivora; Felidae
Exons: 2
Source: RefSeq, a predicted model, not a curated record
ACACAUUUUCAUUUGCUUAUAUUCACUAAUGGAUCCAAUGAAAAAAUCCUAAUAAUUAUCCUUGAAAAUGCAAAUGAAAACAAUGUAUAUAUAAACUAGUCUCUACUACUCUUGUUUGUUGGUUUCUUUUGAGAAGGGGAGUGAAACCAGAUACCUUACUGUGUAAAUAACAAAUCCAAGUAAGAGCAUUCUCAAAUUUGCCCAAGGAACUCUAGUUCAAAUCCUUCUGACUUGGUACAACUUUGUCUGUUACCCUGGAGAGUAAUAAAGAACUCCCAUUGCAACUGACAAGUUCAUACAAAUUAAAUGGCCACGUCAUGUGGCACCCACAAGCCUAUUUAUUAAAUAUAGCUCUUUUUAUAUAUAUACAAGGAGGCUAAAAAGAAGCAGAGGCAGAUGACCAGACACAGGGCUACCAAAUAAAUGACCUGGAUUGAGUCAUGUUAAGACUUAUCAUCUUUCCUCUCUUAUAAUCUGUUAUGCCUGAAAUAAACAAAAAGAUGCAGUUUCCUGUCUUCCAUGUGUAACUAUAUACAGCAAGUCAAACUGUUUUCAGAGACAUCAUUUGUAAACCAUACACAAAAGGAUGAGAAAUUAGUGUCCAUGCUAACAAAUAUGUGACUAAGAAUUAACCAUGGGUAUUUGGUCCACAUAACCCAGUAUACUGAUGAAACACCAAGGAGAACACAGAAAUCACCUUUAAAGAUUCAAGACAUAACCCCAAAGCAAUUAAAUUUUUACUGAACUGUGUCCAAACACUAUACUAUCACAAAGAAAAUGGAGCAGAAGGUGUGGAUCUCCUUCAAAGAGACUGCAAUCUAUUAGACAAGGCUAAGUACAUGGAAAAUAGCAAACAAUAUAAGAUGGCAUAUAACUGCAAAAUUAUAUAAAAUUAUAGGAAACAGAAGAGUUUAGAGGAGGAGGAGGAGGAGACUAACUUGGGUUGUGGUAAACUGAAAAGGCUUUAUGAGAAGCUGGGACUUAAACAGGCACCUGAGGAAGGAUGGAUAGGCCCAAGUAAAAAGGAAGACUAAGAUCAGUGGGACAGUGCAAAUCAAGUCAGGCAAAAGGAGUGAGGUUACACAAUGGAAGAAUGAAAAGGGCAAUUUGAUCACGGUGGUAGAAAAUGAUUUUCAGAGGGCAGUAGGAAAUAAGGUUAAAAUAGUCUGGGAUAUCGUUAAGUUCAGACUAUGGAUCUCUUCAAUAAAUCUAUCUAAACUUUUUUGGAGUCAAUUUACAUGUUUGCCUGACAUAAUUUCUUAGUGUGAUAAAGUCUAUAAAAUCUCAUUCCAAACAAUUACAGAUAGAAAAGAAAUGUAAAAUUUCUUAUUCUGGCAGUAAAGUUGUUUUUAUUAGGGAAAACAAAUUGAUGGUGAUCCAGUCAAGGGAAAAAACGGUAUUUUAUUCAUCUUUGAAUGCCUGACAAAGAUAAAGAGUCAAAAUUUGUUGAAGAACAGCAAGCGUUUUCCAGAACAAGAGCUGCAUCUGUAGUCAGUGACCAUGGGAAAGGAAAAUGCCAGCUGGACUACUCAGAAACUGAAACUGAAGAGAGAACUGGUUAACAGGUUCUCCCUGAGACUUCAGAUAGAAAGCUCUGAGGAACCACAGGAGGCAAAAAUCAAUGAAAAGUUCCAAAUGCUGAUAGUCUAUCCUUCAGUGCUGUUGCUGUUUCUAAGGAAGAGUAAGACUACAUGGAAUAAGGAGAUUAAAAGGAUAACAGAAAUACAAGGGAGAAAAAUGAGGAGAGGUAUGUGGACUGGAGUUAGCUUCACAAACCCAAGGGAAAUUUCAUUUGAAAGAUUUACAAAUACUACUUCUCAUCACGGAGUAAGACAAUGCUUGCCCAAAAUCCCAGUUCUCAAUCUGUGCUCUAUUCAGUUUUUAUUCCUCAUUCCUCAUUAUCCCUCAAUUCCAGUUCAAGUAAGAAAAUGAAAGUUGGCACCAUAAGAGCAAGAGCCCACAAUUCUACGUAUACUAUAUGGCCAUGGAAGAAAACUGCUACCAAAAUAAAAAGUACCACCUUACUA